UUAAAUUGAAGAGUUUGAUCAUGGCUCAGAUUGAACGCUGGCGGCAGGCCUAACACAUGCAAGUCGAACGGUAACAGGAAACAGCUUGCUGUUUCGCUGACGAGUGGCGGACGGGUGAGUAAUGUCUGGGAAACUGCCUGAUGGAGGGGGAUAACUACUGGAAACGGUAGCUAAUACCGCAUAACGUCGCAAGA
This 194-nucleotide ribosomal RNA is filed under the name Escherichia coli. RNAcentral's name for it is "partial 16S ribosomal RNA". It matches the Rfam family "Bacterial small subunit ribosomal RNA", at positions 1 to 186 of the family's 1533-position model. Lineage: Bacteria; Pseudomonadati; Pseudomonadota; Gammaproteobacteria; Enterobacterales; Enterobacteriaceae. The record is from RNAcentral.